Long non-coding RNA from Procambarus clarkii (red swamp crayfish), 932 nucleotides. RefSeq lists it as uncharacterized. The record is from RefSeq and is a predicted model, not a curated record. NCBI's taxonomy places the organism in Eukaryota, Metazoa, Arthropoda, Malacostraca, Decapoda, Cambaridae.
UUGCCCCUAGUAUAGCCCGCGGGACGGUGUGUAGGUACUAGUGUUAGGUGUCUGUUGAAACUAUUUGACCCCGUGGGGUUACCUUUUGGGGUCACUAGGGCCGACAGACCCUAGUGUACACUCGUUACCUAGUACACCGUCAACGCGCUAAAAUCUAGGGGGCAAAAAUACGUAAUCUUUUACAGCUAUAUAUUCCCUCUUUGGGGUAUAUACUGAAAAAGAUUUAUUACUGCAUAUUAAUCAUUACUAAAAUAUAAAUUAUAAAAAUUGAAAUUACUUUGUAUAUUGUAACAUGUUUUUCAUUUAACUAGUGUUGUGUGGCGAUGUCGAAUGUACUGAAGAAGAGGGCUAUUGGUUAGGCUGCAACUGUUGGACCUGAACGUACUUCAACUUCGAAUGAAGUCUGGACGCACCUAGCUGAAGGUAAUACCGGCCAUAUCUGGCAGAUGGAGUACCAGCAUGACGGCAGACAAUAUUCAUCUUCUACCUACUACGAAUCUUGCCACGUUCGUCCUUACUACAGACUAAAGACGAGUCGUGAGGAUGAGAUCAUGGUUAAUUGAAGUGAAUGAGGCUGCACCAUCGCCCAGCAGUGGAGUUGACCAUAGUACGGAAUGAAAAAUGUUGAACACGUUAUUCCUGGACCUGAAGUAUCGGCAAGGAUGAGAGGACCACACCGGCAAUAACUGAAAUAUCCCAAAUGAGUUUAGACUGGCAAAUGGUUGGGGACAUAAUGUAGAGUGAAGAAACUGUUCCAUGUGUCCCGUUAUCGUUUCAUGAAUAAAGUUAAUUGUAUACAGGAGUGAAGUCAGAAGAAACUGGAAAUAACAUGCUGUGAGGUAAAAGGAGUUAACUGUUGUAUUGUAAAUGCAUUUACUGUAAAAUUACUACUGGAUGAGCAAAAUCAUUUGAAAUAAAUGAACAAGAAUCAA